This 455-nucleotide long non-coding RNA is filed under the name Brassica napus (rape). Its description in RNAcentral is "long non-coding RNA (BNAP_LNC005419)". The record is from RNAcentral. Lineage: Eukaryota; Viridiplantae; Streptophyta; Magnoliopsida; Brassicales; Brassicaceae.
UUGGAAUAAGGCAACGCGUCUGCUUUCUAACGAACCUCAAAUCAAAUUCUUACUCAACAACAUAGUUCGUGGUACGCAUGUAAGAAGAAACUUCUAAUUAUAUAUAUGGUCAUCAUACUAUAUAAUAUAAACACAUAUGUGGCAUACGAUUGAGUGUUGACAGGCUAAAACCGUUUCAAUGCUUUGACCAAUCAUACAGAUAAGAUCAAUCUCUGAUCCAAAAACCAAAACUAAUAGAGAAACCUAUGACCAAUUUCAUGAUUCUGUCUGAAAAAAACAAGCAUGAGCCAGAAUAAAACAGAGUUGUCUAUAGCUGCCAAGAUCAAUGCUCAAAAGAUAACACUUAUCUCUUAUUUCAUGCUGACAAGUAAAGAUAUUCAGACACCUGUAAAGAGAGAAAUAGAAUGUAAAUUUGAAAGUACCGAUCUGGGAAUCGGUAAAGGCCUUAUCUAAUC